GUUGAGAGGUAUAAAAAAAGGAUUGAGAGAAAAAAAAAAUAGAGAGAGAAAAAAAUGUGUAGGGAUUAAUGGUUCAAUAUGAUGAAAUGGCUGGAAAAAAGAGGCUG
Long non-coding RNA from Octopus sinensis (East Asian common octopus), 107 nucleotides. RefSeq lists it as uncharacterized. The transcript has 3 exons. Lineage: Eukaryota; Metazoa; Mollusca; Cephalopoda; Octopoda; Octopodidae. The record is from RefSeq and is a predicted model, not a curated record.